GACUCACAACUGCUACAAGAAGAUGGC
This 27-nucleotide non-coding RNA is filed under the name Homo sapiens (human). Lineage: Eukaryota; Metazoa; Chordata; Mammalia; Primates; Hominidae. The record is from RNAcentral.